Molecule: ribosomal RNA, 1177 nt
Filed under: Serratia marcescens
Lineage: Bacteria; Pseudomonadati; Pseudomonadota; Gammaproteobacteria; Enterobacterales; Yersiniaceae
Description: bacterial SSU rRNA
Rfam family: Bacterial small subunit ribosomal RNA
Source: RNAcentral
AGCGAAGCAUGCUAAUGGGUGACGAGCGGCGGACGGGUGAGUAAUGUCUGGGAAACUGCCUGAUGGAGGGGGAUAACUACUGGAAACGGUAGCUAAUACCGCAUAACGUCGCAAGACCAAAGAGGGGACCUUCGGGCCUCUUGCCAUCAGAUGUGCCCAGAUGGGAUUAGCUAGUAGGUGGGGUAAUGGCUCACCUAGGCGACGAUCCCUAGCUGGUCUGAGAGGAUGACCAGCCACACUGGAACUGAGACACGGUCCAGACUCCUACGGGAGGCAGCAGUGGGGAAUAUUGCACAAUGGGCGCAAGCCUGAUGCAGCCAUGCCGCGUGUGUGAAGAAGGCCUUCGGGUUGUAAAGCACUUCAGCGAGGAGGAAGGUGGUGAACUUAAUACGUUCAUCAAUUGACGUUACUCGCAGAAGAAGCACCGGCUAACUCCGUGCCAGCAGCCGCGGUAAUACGGAGGUGCAAGCGUUAAUCGGAAUUACUGGGCGUAAAGCGCACGCAGGCGGUUUGUUAAGUCAGAUGUGAAAUCCCCGGGCUCAACCUGGGAAUGCAUUUGAAACUGGCAAGCUAGAGUCUCGUAGAGGGGGGUAGAAUUCCAGGUGUAGCGGUGAAAUGCGUAGAGAUCUGGAGGAAUACCGGUGGCGAAGGCGGCCCCCUGGACGAAGACUGACGCUCAGGUGCGAAAGCGUGGGGAGCAAACAGGAUUAGAUACCCUGGUAGUCCACGCUGUAAACGAUGUCGAUUUGGAGGUUGUGCCCUUGAGGCGUGGCUUCCGGAGCUAACGCGUUAAAUCGACCGCCUGGGGAGUACGGCCGCAAAGUUAAACUCAAAUGAAUUGACGGGGCCCGCACAAGCGGUGGAGCAUGUGGUUUAAUUCGAUGCAACGCGAAGAACCUUACCUACUCUUGACAUCCAGAGAACUUUCCAGAGAUGGAUUGGUGCCUUCGGGAACUCUGAGACAGGUGCUGCAUGGCUGUCGUCAGCUCGUGUUGUGAAAUGUUGGGUUAAGUCCCGCAACGACGCAACCCUUAUCCUUUGUUGCCAGCGGUUCGGCCGGGAACUCAAAGGAGACUGCCAGUGAUAAACUGGAGGAAGGUGGGGAUGACGUCAAGUCAUCAUGGCCCUUACGAGUAGGGCUACACACGUGCUACAAUGGCGUAUACAAGAGAAGCGA